AGUACUUCUUGCCCUUUGGUUAAGACCAACGGUAGCAUCUGUUAUCAGCUGACUAUCUGAUAUGUCCUCUAUCCAAGGACAGUAGAGUAAAUGAAUUUUCAGAGAGGGAAGAGGGAAUAGGAAGUAGCUGCAUCCGCUCCACACAGUAUAUCCCUGUUACUUCCAGGAGCAGGGUACCUACC
This is a small nuclear RNA of Jaculus jaculus (lesser Egyptian jerboa), 182 nucleotides long. Its record names the gene U2. It matches the Rfam family "U2 spliceosomal RNA". From Rfam's summary of the family: U2 is a small nuclear RNA (snRNA) component of the spliceosome (involved in pre-mRNA splicing). Complementary binding between U2 snRNA (in an area lying towards the 5' end but 3' to hairpin I) and the branchpoint sequence (BPS) of the intron results the bulging out of an unpaired adenosine, on the BPS, which initiates a nucleophilic attack at the intronic 5' splice site, thus starting the first of two transesterification reactions that mediate splicing. The record is from Ensembl. NCBI's taxonomy places the organism in Eukaryota, Metazoa, Chordata, Mammalia, Rodentia, Dipodidae.